CCCUUAGAUGUCCUGGGCCGCACGCGCGUUACACUGAUGCAUUCAACGAGCUUAUAACCUUGGCCGAGAGGCCUGGGCAAUCUUGUUAACGUGCAUCGUGAUAGGGAUAGAUUAUUGCAAUUAUUAAUCUUGAACGAGGAAUUCCUAGUAAACGCAGAUCAUCAAUCUGCAUUGAUUACGUCCCUGCCCUUUGUACACACCGCCCGUCGCACCUACCGAUUGAAUGGUCCGGUGAAGCCUCGGGAUUGUGGUUAGUUUCCUUCAUUGGAAGUUAGCCGCGAGAACUUGUCUAAACCUUAUCAUUUAGAGGAAGGUGAAGUCGUAACA
Molecule: ribosomal RNA, 327 nt
Filed under: uncultured eukaryote
Lineage: Eukaryota
Description: partial 18S ribosomal RNA
Rfam family: Eukaryotic small subunit ribosomal RNA
Source: RNAcentral